GGGAAACACAGUUCAUGUUCUU
RNAcentral lists this small nuclear RNA (22 nucleotides) under Arabidopsis thaliana (thale cress). RNAcentral's name for it is "snRNA_02553". The record is from RNAcentral. Lineage: Eukaryota; Viridiplantae; Streptophyta; Magnoliopsida; Brassicales; Brassicaceae.